GGCGGCGGUCUCGCCGGCAGCGAGGCGGCCUGGCAGCUUGCCCCGCGCCGGCGUCCCCGUGCCCUUGCAAGAGACGUGGCCGGCAAAGCCGUCCACGCCGGUUCGAUUCCGGUCCGCGCUUCCA
This 124-nucleotide transfer RNA is filed under the name Rhodospirillaceae bacterium. Its description in RNAcentral is "tRNA-OTHER". Lineage: Bacteria; Pseudomonadati; Pseudomonadota; Alphaproteobacteria; Rhodospirillales; Rhodospirillaceae. The record is from RNAcentral. RNAcentral also lists the same sequence under 1 other name.